This 73-nucleotide transfer RNA is filed under the name Bdellovibrionales bacterium. RNAcentral's name for it is "tRNA-Trp". It matches the Rfam family "tRNA". From Rfam's summary of the family: Transfer RNA (tRNA) molecules are approximately 80 nucleotides in length. Lineage: Bacteria; Pseudomonadati; Bdellovibrionota; Bdellovibrionia; Bdellovibrionales. The record is from RNAcentral.
ACGCUCGUGGCUCAAUUGGUAGAGCAUCGGAUUCCAAAUCCGAGGGUUGGGGGUUCAAGUCCCUCCGGGCGUG